CGUUGAAACACCAGUUCCCCGUAUGAUCACUGAACUUAAGCAACAUUGGGCUUGGCCAGUAGGUAGGUGGGUGACUGCUUGGAAAUAGCAGGUGGU
Acanthosepion pharaonis is the source of this 96-nucleotide non-coding RNA. Lineage: Eukaryota; Metazoa; Mollusca; Cephalopoda; Sepiida; Sepiidae. The record is from the annotation of a GenBank genome assembly.